AAAGGAAUUGGACGGGGCCCGCACAAGCGGUGGAGCAUGUGGUUUAAUUCGAAGCCAACGCGAAGAACCUUACCAGGUCUUGACAUCCCCUGACAACCCGAGAGAUCGGGCGUUCCCCUUCGGGGGGACAGGGUGACAGGUGGUGCAUGGUUGUCGUCAGCUCGUGUCGUGAGAUGUUGGGUUAAGUCCCGCAACGAGCGCAACCCUCGACCUUAGUUGCCAGCAUUCAGUUGGGCACUCUAAGGUGACUGCCGGCUAAAAGUCGGAGAAGUGGGGAUGACGUCAAAUCAUCAUGCCCCUUAUGACCUGGGCUACACACGUGCUACAAUGGGCGGUACAAAGGGUCGCGAACCCGCGAGGGGGAGCCAAUCCCAAAAAGCCGCUCUCAGUUCGGAUUGCAGGCUGCAACUCGCCUGCAUGAAGCCGGAAUCGCUAGUAAUCGCGGAUCAGCAUGCCGCGGUGAAUACGUUCCCGGGCCUU
Molecule: ribosomal RNA, 480 nt
Filed under: uncultured Anoxybacillus sp.
Lineage: Bacteria; Bacillati; Bacillota; Bacilli; Caryophanales; Anoxybacillaceae
Description: bacterial SSU rRNA
Rfam family: Bacterial small subunit ribosomal RNA
Source: RNAcentral